AUUCAUCAGCGAGAGGGGACCUGAAAGCAGGUCGCCAUCUGUGAGGAUUAAAGUUAGGACCAAAUGCUGCUCAGAAAUUGUUUUAAUCUCAAAAGUAGUUGGCAAGUUUUCAGAGUUCAUUUUCAAGGCCUGGUGUAUGGGGCUGUUCUAAACUGUCAUCACACUCCUCAAGCCAUUAGCAACCUCAACAUCAGCAAGUGAUAUGCCCUACUUCUCCCCAGAUAAAUUAUGAUAUUGAGGAUGACCUUCUCUUCCCUGCUUCUGCCCCUGGACUUUGCAUACAACCAACUCUGCCCAUCAGGGAGGUGUAACUGUGGCUAAAACGUCAUGUGCUAAAAAUUCCUUCCCUAUUUAUCCUCCUAUGUCUUGCCCACCAAAUUUUUGUCUUCCUAUUUCUCUUUAAUCCUUUCCUUUUCAGUGAUUUCUUUCCUUUGGAACAUAAACAUAUUUCUUUACCUCAAAAGUCAAACCCCUGACUUGAUCCUGUAGUCUCCUCUAACUACCUUUCUCUUUCUUUCCACUUAUGCUUCUGGAAAUGUUGUCACAAUUUUCUGUCAUGUUUUUCUCUUCCCAUUGAAUUUUGAUUCUUCUGCUGUGUGGAUUUCCUCCUUGAAAUCUUCAGUGAAACAACUGAACAUUCAGAGCUAUUUCAUUUUCAAAGAUUCUCACAUGUGAGUAUUCCUCUUUCUGAAUAUAAUCCCCUUUCUAUCUCUUUAAUUUUGUUCUUCCAUCAAAACUUCUCUUUCAACACAGGCUGAGAUUAAAGUUUAUUUCUUAUGGCUUCUGAGACAUCUCUCCCUAAGAGAGCAGAAAGGCCUAUUCAUGUUAAUAUGUCCAAAUCAAACCCACUACACAGAUGUACUCUCAAACCUACAUCUUUAUUUCCUAUCUCAGCUAAUGAGAUAACAAUCUCUCCCUCUCCCAAAGUAGAGACCUUGGAUCCAUCUUUAAUUAUUUCCUAACUCUAAUUAUUAAAUCCAAUCAUACACCAAAAAAUGAUGUUCUGAAUACUCUCUCUUUCAUUUGUGCACUCCUUCUUUGUCGUAUCUCUCCUGGACUAAAAUAAUAGUUUCUUGCAGGGUGUUGAAUAGUGUCCCCUAAAAAAUCAUGCCCACCUGGAACCUCAGAAUGUGACCUUAUUUGGAAAUCGGGUGUGCAGAUGAAAUUAGUUAGGGAUCUCAAAAUGAAGUCACUGUAUUAUUAUUGUAGAUGAUUAUGUACACUAAGUUCAAGGACUGACGUCCUUAUAAAAAGAGAGGGUACACACACAGCCAACAGAGAGAAGAAGGUCAUACGAAGACACGCAGAAUUUGGACUUAUGCGGUCACAAGUCAAGGAGUGCUUGGAGCUACCGGGAGAUGGAAGAGUCAAGGCAGGAUUUUCCCUGGAAGAUUUGGAAGGAACAUAUUUCUCCUGAAACCUUGAUUCUAGCCUUCACUAAUGACAGAGAAUAAAUUUCUGUUCUUUUAA
RNAcentral lists this long non-coding RNA (1470 nucleotides) under Homo sapiens (human). RNAcentral describes it as "HSALNT0322362". The record is from RNAcentral. Lineage: Eukaryota; Metazoa; Chordata; Mammalia; Primates; Hominidae.